RNAcentral lists this long non-coding RNA (1095 nucleotides) under Pogona vitticeps (central bearded dragon). RNAcentral describes it as "lncRNA (ENSPVIG00000013180.1)". The record is from RNAcentral. Lineage: Eukaryota; Metazoa; Chordata; Lepidosauria; Squamata; Agamidae.
UAAGAUUGCUGCCUUAGUAUUUUUAGCAUGAAAUGGCAACCUUUGGAUCUGAAUUAGAAAUGUUAACUAUGUUGCAAUGUCGUAUAAUUGUUUCCUUGGCUGCACUGAACCUGCAUCAAAGAAGAGGCAAGAGAUAACUAGAGGCUGCCAGAUUAUUUGUUAAUCUGUCACAAACACUCAAGGAAAAAAAACAUUAAAACCUUGUAUCUUAGAACUGCAGAACUAGGAGGGACCAUAUGGCUCAUCGAGUCCAGCCCCUGCAAGGAGGAUCAGUGGGGAAUGAAAUGGGAAACCACUGAGCUGUCCAGCAGUUCAUUGCUUUAUUGCACCUCAAGGAGGCUCUAUCAGUUGACAUGGCAGCAGAGCAGAUGACAUCACUGUAUGUACACAGAAUGACGGAAUGAUAGAAUCAUGGAGUUGUUUGACAAGAAGCCCUGGAACUGUGUUUCCCUUCUGUUACCAUUGUGGGUUGUGCAAUACAGAGUAUUAGCAGAGUAAAAUAGCUUGAAAAACAUAGAGAGCCAAUUGGGGCUGAUUGGGGUAGAUCUUUUUUUUUAAAAUCAUCCCACAAGUGUAAAGCAUGACUGAGCACGCAGCAGGGAUGACGGAUGCACUGGAGAAGAACAUAUUUCUGCACACACCUGAGCCACAGCUGCACACAAAACGAUUCCCAACAGCUUCCUGGCCUCCAGUCCCUAGAGACAGCAUUAUCAGCACAUUACCAGACAUGAAGGUGAAAACAAGGGAAUGGAACUAGUCAGGGGAGAAAAGAGGAAUAGGAGGAAAGCAAAUGAAAAACACACAGCAGCUGGUCAGUGAGUCUUGAUUUUCAACUCUAAUCUCAGCUUGCACAGUCAAUAGGGAGAAAUACCACAAUUUGCAUGACAAGAGCAGGGUGAACUGAAUGGUAGCAAAUCAAUUCUGCAAGAGGAGAUAAAGCCAGAAUAUAGCUAAUGUAUUAGCAGAAAGGUAGAAAUUCAAUUCCCAUAAUGUCAGAUGAUAUUGAUUAAAACUGACAGUUUUUUUUAUUCUCCUGCCACUUGGGCUCCUGGAACAAGUUAGUCUUCUAAAGGCACCGUUGUCUUACAUGUAUGU